Molecule: non-coding RNA, 72 nt
Organism: Spironucleus salmonicida
Lineage: Eukaryota; Fornicata; Diplomonadida; Hexamitidae
Source: Rfam
GCGGUUAUAGUAUAGUGGUAAGUAUUUGCGCUUGUCACGUGCGAGACCCGGGUUCAAUUCCCGGUAACCGCG